This 450-nucleotide ribosomal RNA is filed under the name uncultured Glomeromycotina. RNAcentral's name for it is "SSU rRNA". It matches the Rfam family "Eukaryotic small subunit ribosomal RNA", at positions 569 to 1023 of the family's 1831-position model. The record is from RNAcentral. Lineage: Eukaryota; Fungi; Glomeromycota.
AGCAGCCGCGGUAAUUCCAGCUCCAAUAGCGUAUAUUAAAGUUGUUGCAGUUAAAAAGCUCGUAGUUGAAUUUCGGGGUCAGUAGUUUGGUCGUGCCAACGGUAUGUACCGGGCUCACUGAUUCCUCCUUCCUGAUGAACUGUAAUGCCAUUAAUUUGGUGUUGCAGGGAAACUGGACUGUUACUUUGAAAAAAUUAGAGUGUUUAAAGCAAGCUAACGCUUGAAUACAUUAGCAUGGAAUAAUGAAAUAGGACGUUCGAUCCUAUUUUGUUGGUUUCUGGGAUUGACGUAAUGAUUAAUAGGGAUAGUUGGGGGCAUUAGUAUUCAAUUGUCAGAGGUGAAAUUCUUGGAUUUAUUGAAGACUAACUACUGUGAAAGCAUUUGCCAAGGAUGUUUUCAUUAAUCAAGAACGAAAGUUAGGGGAUCGAAGACGAUCAGAUACCGUCGUAG